UCACUAACGCUUGCCUGGGGAAUCCCUCUGCCUUCUCUCCAGGUAACGACCAGACUCCAGUCCUGUACCUCAACGCUUCCAGUGCCAAGGAGGGGGAAAUAAUUCUCUUUCAGUGUGCCAUUGAUUGGCAGUUUCCUGCUACACGAGUUGUCUUCUGCAAGAAUGGGCAGGAGGAGUUCAGUCUGAAAGCCCAGCAGGGCAAGGUCACCUAUACUCUGGUCCUGAACAUCACCUCCAGAAAUGCUGGGACGUACAAGUGUGGGUACCAGCAGAGGAACGAGGGCAACUGGGUGAGGAACUCUGCUCUCAGUGCUCCCCAGACCCUGUCUGUACCAGUGAGUCCAGCUCCUCAGCAAGGCCGUUGCCCCCAGGCAGUGUGUCCAACUCCCCAGCAGGGCCAUCACACCCGGCUCCACAUUCUCGGAUCCCACACGCCCUCGCCACAGGCACAGCGCUGGCAGUGGCAGCCGUCGGCCUCGUCCUCCUGGCUGCAGGCAGCUGGUUUGCCAUCAGGAAAGGUGCCUGCAGAGCGAGAUGCCCAAGGCAGCAGCACGUUGACAGCCCACAAGAAGAAGACACCAACAACGACAAUAUUCAGUACUCCACCAUCGCCCACGUUCGACGGGACAGGGAUCACAAUCCAGAUCAGAGGAGGAAGAAAUACCUUGCAAAGCAUCUCACCCUUCUGUCGGUACGAACAUUUCCCAAAGCUGCGAAACCAGAGAAUGCAGGUGGGCUGGGACGACAAGCUCAGGCCAAGUGUAAUUAAAGCUGGACACAAAAAAUAGAAAAUCCACAGGGGAGUUUUUCAGAUGGCAGCUGUGAGAAAAAUGAGAUUUGCGCUUGGGGAUUUCCUGUGUAAUGAAGGGGGCUGCUGCAUGCAGGGUUGUUUCAGGGAAAAAAAAAAAAAAAGAAAAAAGAAAAAAAAAAAAAGGAGAAAAAAGUCCCUGCUGUGGGACUACAACGAGGUCCAGGCUCACAGAGCACCCACAGCAGGAUGCUGGGGAGGUCAGGAUGGGACUUCUGACCACCCAAAGUGUCCCACAGCAUCUUGUCCUGAGGACGGACAAGCUAUGUUAUCUUUUGGUGGUUGGAUUUCAAAAAAAUAAAAAUAACUCUUUAUGUGGCA
This 1129-nucleotide long non-coding RNA is filed under the name Anas platyrhynchos platyrhynchos (common mallard). Its description in RNAcentral is "lncRNA (ENSAPLG00000023631.1)". Lineage: Eukaryota; Metazoa; Chordata; Aves; Anseriformes; Anatidae. The record is from RNAcentral.